RNAcentral lists this ribosomal RNA (971 nucleotides) under Oonopoides sp. 299. RNAcentral's name for it is "eukaryotic LSU rRNA". It matches the Rfam family "Eukaryotic large subunit ribosomal RNA", at positions 121 to 862 of the family's 3401-position model. Lineage: Eukaryota; Metazoa; Arthropoda; Arachnida; Araneae; Oonopidae. The record is from RNAcentral.
GUUCGUUUCGGACGUUUGAAAAAUGUGGCGUUUAGGAGGUUGCGUGCCGGAGUCGGACCCUGCAGCAAGUCCCCCUGACCGGGGCUGUUACCCAGAGCGGGUGCGAGGCCCAUAGCUGCUACGUCUGCUUCGGAUGCGACCUCUUGGGAGUCGGGUUGCUUGGGAGUGCAGCCCUAAUUGGGUGGUAAACUCCACCUAAGACUAAAUACGGCCGUGAGACCGAUAGCAAACAAGUACCGUGAGGGAAAGUUGCAAAGAACUUUGAAGAGAGAGUUCAAGAGUACGUGAAACUGCUCAGAGGCAAACAGGUGGGCCCUCGAAAUCCUCUUCGGGGGGAUUCAGUUAGGAAGGGUCGAGGUGGCGUGCGAUAUAAACGGACCCUGUUCGGGGCCGGGUCGCCGUCACGGUCUCGGCUCGAUCUGACGCAUUUCUCUCCGCACAAGGACGCCGCAUCCGGUUGGGUAGCUGCGUGAGUCGGCCGUAAGGGUUCGCAAUGGCAGGUGACUGCGGCGUUGCCCUUCGCAGCUAGUUAUUUUCCUGCGGACUCGUGGCGCGACACCCGACCGAGGUUGAACUGUUCCCUCUUGGGAACUGGCCGUCCCCUUCGCAGCGGGUGCUGGCAGGUGUUUCAUGUCGUCGCAUCGUCACUCUUGUAGUGUCCUGCGCUUCAUGUUCUCUGUUGGGGUGCAAGGGCUAGCGGCGAGUGAGUCGGUCACCCACCUGACCCGUCUUGAAACACGGACCAAGGAGUCUAACAUGUGCGCGAGUCACGGGGUCUUGUCUAGGCCCAGAGGCGCAAUGAAAGUGAAGGUCGACUUCGCGUCGGCUGUGUUGGGAUCUCUCGUCCUUUGCGGCGGGAGAGCACCAGCGAUCCGUCCUAUCCGAUUUAUCGGUUGGCCGGAACCGGAGCGUACACGUUGGGACCCGAAAGAUGGUGAACUAUGCCUGGGCAGGACGAAGCCAGAGGAAAC